CGGACGGGUGAGUAACGCGUGGGUAACCUGCCUCACACUGGGGGAGUAACAGUUAGAAAUAGCUGCUAAUACCGCAUAAGCGCACAGUUCCGCAUGGAACAGUGUGAAAAACUCCGGUGGUGUGAGAUGGACCCGCGUCUGAUUAGCCAGUUGGCGGGGUAACGGCCCACCAAAGCGACGAUCAGUAGCCGGCCUGAGAGGGUGAACGGCCACAUUGGGACUGAGACACGGCCCAA
Molecule: ribosomal RNA, 236 nt
Filed under: uncultured bacterium
Lineage: Bacteria
Description: partial 16S ribosomal RNA
Rfam family: Bacterial small subunit ribosomal RNA
Source: RNAcentral